RNAcentral lists this ribosomal RNA (862 nucleotides) under Porodaedalea laricis. Its description in RNAcentral is "partial large subunit ribosomal RNA". It matches the Rfam family "Eukaryotic large subunit ribosomal RNA", at positions 76 to 915 of the family's 3401-position model. Lineage: Eukaryota; Fungi; Basidiomycota; Agaricomycetes; Hymenochaetales; Hymenochaetaceae. The record is from RNAcentral.
UCCCCUAGUAACUGCGAGUGAAGCGGGAAAAGCUCAAAUUUAAAAUCUGGCGGUCUUAUGGCCGUCCGAGUUGUAAUCUGGAGAAGUGUUUUCCGCGUCGGACCGUGUACAAGUCUCCUGGAACGGAGCGUCAUAGAGGGUGAGAAUCCCGUCCAUGACACGGACCGCCGAUGCUUUGUGAUACACUCUCGAAGAGUCGAGUUGUUUGGGAAUGCAGCUCAAAAUGGGUGGUAAAUUCCAUCUAAAGCUAAAUAUUGGCGAGAGACCGAUAGCGAACAAGUACCGUGAGGGAAAGAUGAAAAGCACUUUGGAAAGAGAGUUAAACAGUACGUGAAAUUGUUGAAAGGGAAACGCUUGAAGUCAGUCGCGUCUUUCAGAACUCAGCCUUGCUUCGGCCUGGUGUACUUUCUGUUAGACGGGUCAACGUCAAUUUCGAUCGGCGGAGAAAGGUUGAGGGAAUGUAGCGUUGUUUCGGCGACGUGUUAUAGCCCUCUUCUGUAUACGUCGGUUGGGAUUGAGGACCGCAGCGCGCCUUUAUGGCCAGGGGUUCGCCCCAUGUACCGCGCUUAGGAUGUUGGCAUAAUGGCUUUAAGCGACCCGUCUUGAAACACGGACCAAGGAGUCUAACAUGCUUGCGAGUAUUCGGGUGGAAAACCCUUGUGCGUAAUGAAAGUAAAAGUUGGGAGCCUCCGCGAGGGGGUGCACCGACGCCCGGCCCUGACGUUCUCUGACGGUGCUGCGGUAGAGCAAGUAUGUUGGGACCCGAAAGAUGGUGAACUAUGCCUGAAUAGGGCGAAGCCAGAGGAAACUCUGGUGGAGGCUCGUAGCGAUUCUGACGUGCAAAUCGAUCGUCAAAUUUGGG